Molecule: ribosomal RNA, 357 nt
Filed under: Triticum aestivum (bread wheat)
Lineage: Eukaryota; Viridiplantae; Streptophyta; Magnoliopsida; Poales; Poaceae
Description: partial small subunit ribosomal RNA
Source: RNAcentral
AUGUUCCAUGUUCAGGAACAAACAAACAAACAAACGGAACGAAAACCCCCCGACACGCCCCCAACAGACCGGACGCGGGCGCCCGCCGAUCCUCUGAAGCUUCCGCCUUUUUUUUCCAAUCCGCGCUGUGAUUCUUCCUCCCCUCCCCGCGCCGCCUCCCCUGAUUUCUUUUCUCCCCACCCGCCGGAUUCGGCCCCCUCCCUGCGCUCCUCAGCUGCCAUCCUCCCCCAGCCGAAAUCCGCUGCAGCGGCGGCGGCGGCGGCGCCGAGCCAGGCCAGCUGGUGCUCUGGCGGCGGCCGAUUCGUUUGGUCGGGCGGCGCCGUCUUCUCCGCCAAUCAAGAUCGAUCUGGGCUCUGA